AGGCAGGGGCUCGCCGGGAACGUGGCGUUCACCCGCGCUUCCGAAGUGCCUCUGCUAAGUGAGCCACGGAGGGGAGGAGCAGUCCCCGGGCUGAACGAGGCCUGGGGCCAAGUGCAUCCAGGGCGGAGGGUGGCGGGAAGCUGUCUGUGCCUGAGGACUCACUUUUUAGGUGCUUGUUUUGGAACAUUGCACAAACGCGGGUGCAAACCCCAAGCUCACCAGCGUGAGUCAGCGGGGCCGGCAGCAGGAGGAGAGGGAAAGGUGGGCGAGGAGGGCGCCGCGCACCCCGAGGCCCGCGCGGGCAGCGGGAAGGACCCGGUGGCGACAAGGGACACCCCUAGCGGCGGCCCCUUCCCCAGCCCUACAGGUGAGCGCGGGCCCGCCGCGGGGCGGAGCGCGCCGUCCCUACUGGCCACCCUCCCGGCGCCACCACCACCGCCGCAGCUGCAGUCAAUGGAAUGCCAGCUGGCUAGGGAAGGGGAACAAUGGCACUGGAUGUGAUCACCUGUAGUGUGUAGACAAAGGUAGGUCCAGGGACUUAGGGAAGCCAUUUGGGAUGGGACAUAUGUGUAUAAAAGUAUAUACUUAUAUGUAUGUGUAUAUCUAUAUAUCUAUAUCUGUAUGCUUUUUUUAAGUUUAUUUAUUUAUUUGGGGCAGGGAAGGAGAAGUGGGGGAGGGAGAGAGAGAAUCCCAAGCAGGCUCCACACCAUCAGCACAGACUCUGAUGCAGGGCUUCAACUCACGAACUGUGAGAUCAUGACCUGAGCCGAAAUCAAGAGUCAGAUGCUUAACCGACUGAGCCACCUGGGCUCAGUGUAUUUUGUAUGGCUUCAUGUAUAUUUUGGAUGGCUUCAGUUUACUUGCCUUGACCAUGGUCGACUAGUUUAAAUUGAACUCAGAGCUCUGAAGUGAGGUAUAACCUUAUACACCUUCAAAUCAUGAUAGUUUGUUUUGAAAGUAAAUUACAAAAUCAGAAUGGGCAUCAGCUGACCUCUAAUCUAUAGCUCAUUCAAUCCUCACAACCACCUAUGAGAUUUUUGAAAAUGUUGGCUUAUUUGAAUAUUGAUUUUUUUAAGAAAACAGACUUCGUGUUUUUGAGCAAUUUUAGGUUCAUAGCAAAACUGAGCGGUAAGCACUGAGUUCUCAUAUAUCCCCUGCCCCCACAGGCACAGCCUUCCCCACUGUCAACAUCUGGAACCAGAGUGGUUCAUUUGUUACAACUGAUGAACCUACAUUGAUACAUUAUUAUCAUCCAAAGUCCAUUAGACUACAUUGGCGUUUGCUUUUGGUGUUUUACAUUCUGUGGGUUUGAACAAAUGCAUAAUGAUGUGUAUCCACCAUUAGAAUAUCACACAGAACAGUUUCACUGCCCUAAAGAUCCUCUGUGCUCUGCUUAUUCAUCCUUCCCUCCCCCUAAACUCUGGCAAUCACUGAUAUUUUUAUUGUCUCCAUAGUUUUGCCCUUUCCAGAAUGUCAAAUAGUUGGAAUCAUACAGGAUGCAUGUAACGUUUUCAGAUUGGCUUCUUUCGCUUGGUAAUAUGCAUGGCAGUUUCCCCCAUGUAUUUUCAUGGCAUGAUAGUUCAUUCCUUUUUUUUUUUUUUUUAAUUUUUUUUUUCAACGUUUAUUUAUUUUUUGGGGGACAGAGAGAGACAGAGCAUGAACGGGGGAGGGGCAGAGAGAGAGGGAGACACAGAAUCAGAAACAGGCUCCAGGCUCUGAGCCAUCAGCCCAGAGCCUGAUGUGGGGCUCGAACUCACGGACCGCGAGAUCGUGACCUGGCUGAAGUCGGACGCUUAACCAACUGCGCCACCCAGGUGCCCCUAGUUCAUUCCUUUUUAGUGCUGAAUAAUGCUCCAAGGAACUGCUAUUUUUUUUUUAAGUUUAUUUAUUUAUUUGUGGGGGUGGGGGGAGUGGAGAGAGAGGGAGAGAGCAUCCCAAGCAGCCUCCAUGUUGUCAGUGCAGAGCCUGAUGUGGGGCUCGAUCUCACAAAAACGUGAGAUCAUGACUUGAGCUGAAGCCAAGAAUUGGAUGCUUAACUGACUGAGCCACUCGGGCGCCCUGGGACCAGUAUCUUUUAUCCUAUUUCACAGAUAAAGAAACAGGCACAGAGGGGAUUAGUAACUUGCCCAGAUACAAUCAGUACAGAUCAGUUUGAUUAUAGGUCCUUGUCUCUUCUGGGGCAGGUGGGUGGCUCAGUUGGUUAAUUGUCCGACUUCGGCUCAGGUCAUGAUCUCGUGGUUCAUGAGCUUGGGCCCUGCGUCAGGCUGUGUGCUGACAGCUCAAGGCCUGGAACCUGCUUUGGAUUCUGUGUCUCCCUCUCUUUGCUUUCCCCUCCCCCUCCCGCUCCGUCUCUCUCUCUCUCUCUCUCUCUCUCUCUCUCUCUCUCUCUGAAAAAUAAAUAAACCUUAAGCAAAAAUUUUACCA
RNAcentral lists this long non-coding RNA (2424 nucleotides) under Felis catus (domestic cat). RNAcentral's name for it is "lncRNA (ENSFCAG00000047678.1)". The record is from RNAcentral. Lineage: Eukaryota; Metazoa; Chordata; Mammalia; Carnivora; Felidae.